CUAGUACUCCCUCCAUCCCAAAAUUCUUGUCUUAGAUUUGUCUAAAUACGGAUGUAUCAAGUCACGUUUUAGUAUUAGGUACAUUCGUAUCUAGACAAAUCUAAGACGAGAAUUUUGGGACCGAGGGAGUAAUAU
Non-coding RNA from Triticum aestivum (bread wheat), 135 nucleotides. NCBI's taxonomy places the organism in Eukaryota, Viridiplantae, Streptophyta, Magnoliopsida, Poales, Poaceae. The record is from Rfam.